Molecule: long non-coding RNA, 4370 nt
Filed under: Homo sapiens (human)
Lineage: Eukaryota; Metazoa; Chordata; Mammalia; Primates; Hominidae
Description: HSALNT0377439
Source: RNAcentral
GCUUGGGUUUCGCAUCCUCAUCAUGUAGCGCCAGCCACACCAGGAACAGAAGGGUGCCGGGUACCUUCCGCAUGCUUGGUAUUCUCCCCGCGGGGCUCUGACCGCUGCCGCUCUCAGGCACCUGUCUUUCCUCUCCGUCCCAGAAUGGAGCCAAGACAAGGGAAUAAACGAAAUUCAAUAGUACACGGAGAUCGGGUGUCUGGGCAGCGUCUUGGAAAAACUAUCCACUACAGCAAUCAACAACACAGAAGACAACUUCUGCAACCCUAUCGGGAGAGGAGGGGUUCUCUCCACCACCAGAUUAUUCCUGACUAGUGAUAUAAAUAAAAUCUUUCCUGGUCCAGAAUUGGUGUUGAGCCUCUCAACAAAUCUUUGAGCCCUGAUUAUAUAUAAGGUAUUGUGCCAGGUGCAGUGGCUCACGCCUGUAAUCCCAGCACUUUGGGAGGCUGAGGUGGGCGGAUCACCUGAGGUCGGGAGUUCGAGACCAGCCUGACCAACAUGGAGAAACCCCGUCUCUACUAAAAAUACAAAAUUAGCUAGGCAUGUUGCCACGUGCCUGUAACCCCAGCUACUCGGGAGGCUGAGGCAGGAGAAUCAACUGAACCUGGGAGAUGGAGGUUGUGGUGAGCUGAGAUUACACCAUUGCACUCCAGCCUGGGCAACAAGAGCAAAACUCCAUUUCAAAAAAAAGAAGUAUUGUGCUAGAUAAAUAAAACAACAAAAAUGUGUAUGUAAAGUUUUUACUCUAAGAUGAAGGUUCUCAAACGUCAGUUUUCAUCACAGUCCCCUGGAAGAAUUCUCAAAACACAGAAUGCUUGCCAAGUCAAUCCUAAGCCAAAAGAACAAAGCUGGAGGCAUCACACUACCUGACUUCAAACUAUACUACAAGGAUGCAGUAACCAAAACAGCAUGGUACUGGUACCAAAACAGAGAUAUAGACCAAUGGAACAGAACAGAGCCCUCAGAAAUAAUGCCGCUUAUCUACAACCAUCUGAUCUUUGACAAACCUGACAAAAACAAGAAAUGGGGAAAGGAUUCCCUAUUUAAUAAAUGGUGCUGGGAAAACUGGCUAGCCAUAUGCAGAAAGCUGAAACUGGAUCCCUUCCUUACACCUUAUGCUAAAAUUAAUUCAAGAUGGAUUAAAGACUUAAAUGUUAGACCUAAAACCAUAAAAACCGUAGAAUAAAACCUAGGCAAUACCAUUCAGGACAUAGGCAUGGGCAAGGACUUCAUGUUUAAAACACCAAAAGCCAUGGCAACAGAAGCCAAAAUUGACAAAUAGGAUCUAAUUAAACUAAAGAGCUUCUGCACAGCAAAAGAAACUACCAUCAGAGUGAACAGGCAACCUACAGAAUGGGAGAAAAUUUUUGCAAUCUACUCAUCUGACAAAGGGCUAGUAUCCAGAAUCUACAAUGAACUCAAACAAAUUUACAAGAAAAAAACAACCCCAUCAAAAAGUGGGCAAACGAUAUGAACAGACACUUCUCAAAAGACGACAUUUAUGCUGCCAAAAGACACAUGAAAAAAUGCUCAUCAUCACUGGCCAUCAGAGAAAUGCAAAUCAAAACCACAAUGAGAUACCAUCUCACACCAGUUAGAAUGGCGAUCAUUAAAAAGUCAGGAAACAACAGGUGCUGGAGAGGAUGUGGAGAAACAGGAACACUUUUACACUGUUAGUGGGACUGUAAACUAGUUCAACCAUUGUGGAAGUCAGUGUGGCGAUUCCUCAGGGAUCUAGAACUAGAAAUACCAUUUGACCCAGCCAUCCCAUUACUGGGUAUAUACCCAAAGGAUUAUAAAUCAUGCUGCUAUAAAGACACAUGCACACGUAUGUUUAUUGUGGCACUAUUCACAAUAGCAAAGACUUGGAACCAACCCAAAUGUCCAAUAAUGAUAGACUGGAUUAAGAAAAUGUGGCACAUAUACACCAUGGAAUACUAUUCAGCCAUAAAAAAGGAUGAGUUCAUGUCCUUUGUAGGGACAUGGAUGAAGCCGGAAACCAUCAUUCUCAGCAAACUAUCGCAAGGACAAAAAACCAAACACCGCGUGUUCUCACUCAUAGGUAGGAACUGAACAAUGAGAACACAUGGACACAGGAAGGGGAACAUCACACGCCGGGGCCUGUUGUGGGGUGGGGGGAGCGGGGAGGGAUAGCAUUAGGAGAUAUACCUAAUGUUAAAUGACGAGUUACUGGGUGCAGCACACCAACAUGGCACAUGUAUACAUAUGUAACUAACCUGCACGUUGUGCACAUGUACCCUAAAACUUAAAGUAUAAUAAAGAAAAAAAAAACACAGAAUGCUGAGCCUUACUUCCAGAGUUUCUGAUUUAUGAAGUCUGAAUGGCGCCUGAGAAUGUGCAUUUCUAACAAGUUAGUAAUGCACCAACUAGGUGUUACCAAUGAUGAUAAUCUGGGGACCACUCUGAGCCCCUCUGCUCUAAGAAGAUACUUAACGUGUUCUUCAAAAAUGCCCAAAGAAGUAAAAGAGCAACGCUCAAAACUAGUUUGUUACAUACUUUUCUCUUUAAAAAACCUACCCAAAUGCUUUACAAAUACAGGAAAUAUAUCCACCUCCUAAGACAUUAAUACACCACAUACUUAGAACUUAGUAAUUAUAAAAUACACUAACUACACUGACUAGACUAUUCAAUGGUUGACCUGUGGUAUAUAUCCACAAUCAUCAAUAGAACUUUUUUCCCCCAAAUAUAGAAGGCCAAAUCCCAACCCUGGAAAUUCAAAUUAAAGGCUUGGCACAUCUGUUUAAAAAAUAAUAUCAACAUAAUCCUGAUGAGCACUCUUAGCUGUUUAAAGUCUAUGUUUCAUUUCUGAGUGCUUGUAAAAUUUACAGAUCCCUGAGUUCCAUCCCAAAAUUACCAAAUCAGAAUCUCUGGCGAAUGGGUCCCUGGGAAUCCAUAGAGCAACUAGACACUCAGGUGAUUUAACCACAGAAGUUUGAGAAACAUUAGCAGGUCUUAAAGCAAAAGCUUAACAGGUAGGCCAGCAAAUUUUGAAAAACGAGAAUAAUUUAUUUUUAGCUAUAACUGAAUACACAUCCUAUAACAUACCAUGUUUGUCAGGCAAAACACUGAAUAUAGUGAGUUUCACAAUACUAUGUAAUGUGAGGUAUAAUUGCUAAGAAUAAGAAGCUAGCAGUAAAAGUCAAUAAGCCAGCAAGAACAAGUGUGCGUUUAGUAAAACUUUGCCUUAAACACGUAAGUGCAUGAGUAGAGUUCAAAGAUGACCUAAGGAAGAAUGUGGCAACUGAAUUUUUUUCCAGUUCUCUGAAACAAUUUUUUAAAAGUCAGCUUUUAAUACCUUCAUGAAUGUCACAAACAUUCAAGAGUGAAGAAUCACUGUUCAUGGUUAAGAGCUGUGUAUCACUGACUUUCCCCAAAUUACCUACUCUAUCACUCUUCUUUCUCUGCAUUGCUUCCUUCUCAGCUUGUAAAUCCUUUUCUUUCUGUUUCCCUUAUUUAUAUGCUCUUAGAUGGUAACAGAUCUAAGACUAGAACCUAAGAAGGUCAGUGACCCUAAACUUUGUGUGUAUGUAGAAGAAUGUGUCCUUGAAAUAAUUAUUUGCUUAACUUUAAUAGAAGAUGCAUAAAUAAUAAUAAAGUACUUACAUAACAGGAAAAAACACAUGUAUUGAAAUAAGGGUGUACAAUAGAAAGCAUACCCUAAAGACUUCUUCUAUUAAAUAUUUAGCUCUAAACCUUGACCAUGAUUAAGAUUCUGGAAAUGACAAAGGAGCAGCUCUCCUAAAGCAAGAGUCUCUGUUUUCCAACUAUACUAAUCCAUCCUAUCCAAUAUUACCAAAUAAAUUUUCCAAAGUGACCUUCUGAUCCUGUUUCUUUGUCUUUAAAAAGGGUUAGGUAACACUAUUAGUGUGUGGCAGAUCUCAGAUUCCACCUGAGAAUCUCCACCCUUUUCCCCAUUUUAAUAUGAAGCCCCAUUUUUAAUAUGGCCUAUGCCUUUCCACAAAUCAGAUGCUCAAUAUAUAAUUUUUAAAUUAAAAGAUUCAAGAAAUUUGGGACUAUUUUUUAAGAAUAGAAGGAAGAAACAUGAUAGCUACCCUCAGAUAUUUGAAAAGGAUAUCAAACAAAAGGCGGAUUUGGUAAUUUAUACAACUCCAGAGAGUAAUAAAUAGGAAUUACAACAUGGCAGUGCUUUGUUUAAUAGAGUUAAAGCAGUGUUGAAGUUACACUCUAUGAGAAUUUUUAAAACCGUGUUUUCAUUUUGGUGGCAUUGUAAAAAAAGAAAAGGCAUAUUCUACAUCAUCUAAAUGAUCUCUCCAUAGUUCUGUAUACUUGCCUCAAGCCUUCUGUGUUUGAGGCUGCAUUUGUUUAUGAUCAAACUGUUACCAAAUGAC